This 388-nucleotide ribosomal RNA is filed under the name uncultured bacterium. Its description in RNAcentral is "bacterial SSU rRNA". It matches the Rfam family "Bacterial small subunit ribosomal RNA", at positions 28 to 409 of the family's 1533-position model. The record is from RNAcentral.
GACGAACGCUGGCGGCGUGCCUAACACAUGCAAGUUGAGCGACGAACCAGGGCUUGCCCUGGGGCAAAGCAGCGAACGGGUGAGUAACACGUGGGUAACGUGCCCCGAUAACCGGGACAACCCGAGGAAACUCGGGCUAAUACCGGAUGUGCCCACCGGACACCAGUCCGGUGUGUAAAGGAAGCUUCGGCCUCCGUAUCGGGAGCGGCCCGCGGCCCAUUAGCUAGUUGGUGAGGUAACGGCUCACCAAGGCAACGAUGGGUAGCUGGUCUGAGAGGACGAUCAGCCACACUGGGACUGAGACACGGCCCAGACUCCUACGGGAGGCAGCAGUGGGGAAUAUUGGACAAUGGGCGAAAGCCUGAUCCAGCAAUGCCGCGUGAGUGAU